Molecule: long non-coding RNA, 784 nt
Filed under: Chinchilla lanigera (long-tailed chinchilla)
Lineage: Eukaryota; Metazoa; Chordata; Mammalia; Rodentia; Chinchillidae
Description: lncRNA (ENSCLAG00000027168.1)
Source: RNAcentral
UAGUAAGUAGUUUUGAUUUGUUUUUAGUUGCAAAGGAAAGAAUUAACAGUUUUGAGUAAAAUAUGUUGGGACCUGAUUUCAGCUUGACAGAGUUCCUGUAAUGCUGGAAGAGGUGCUCAUCCCCCGGGUGACUGCUAAGGGGGAAGUGGGAUGGGACAGCAGGUGCGAUGUGGCUGACGGAGACAUGCGGUGGCCAAGGUGUGAGGACGCAGUGCUGGAAGUCAGUCGACUGAAUUCACGAUGGGUUGGAGAAAAUACUCCCAUGAGGACUAAGUAAUUGGGUUUUACUCUAUAGCUGGAAGGCCAAUAUCCUGCAGUUGGUGAAACCCACUGAGAGGAUGAAUUCCGAAGAUGGAAUUUCUCCAUGGAAAAUGUGCUGCUCACAGCCCUUGGUAUUCGCACCUGAGGCCUGUUGGCAGUUGCUUUUUGGCUGGCUCAAACAGGCAAGGUGGUACAUAAAGGCGGUUUCUAUGGAAACCUGAGCCCAAAAUCUUUGGGGACUUUGAGAUCAAAGGCAACAUCCUGAGUUGUUUGGAGAGCCCCGUGGACAGUUCACGACUUUAUUGUUCUGCACAGAAAAAGCUAUGGCCAUGGCUUCGGAACACUUUCUUUUCCAGGUGCAGUAGAACUGUGGGCACAAAGUAGAAGUUUGCAGCUUGUUGUGAAUUUAUCUGUUCUAAUUAUUUUACCAGCUCUUCUGUAACAUUCAUCUCUGUUAUAAAGAGAUUGUAAUCUUCCAUUUUUUCCCUUUUAUAUCUUUAUUUUAAUAAAAGAUGAAAUAAAG